GAUUACGGCCAUACCACACUGACAACGCCCGAUCUCGUCUGAUCUCGGAAGCUAAGCAGAGUUGGGCUGGGUCAGUACUUGGAUGGGUGACUGCCUGGGAAUACCCGGUGCUGUAAGCA
Molecule: ribosomal RNA, 119 nt
Organism: Cottoperca gobio
Lineage: Eukaryota; Metazoa; Chordata; Actinopteri; Perciformes; Bovichtidae
Source: Ensembl